CUCUUAUCCAGAGAGGCUGAGGGACUGGCCCAAUGACGCCCGGCAACCCCGGAUAAAGAUCCGGAAGGUGCCAAUUCCUGUAGAAAUCCUUUGGGAUUUCUAGAAGAUAGGAG
Non-coding RNA from Thermoactinomyces sp. Gus2-1, 113 nucleotides. NCBI's taxonomy places the organism in Bacteria, Bacillati, Bacillota, Bacilli, Caryophanales, Thermoactinomycetaceae. The record is from Rfam.